UCUCCUCAUACCCAAGGGUAGAUACACCAGC
Molecule: non-coding RNA, 31 nt
Filed under: Rattus norvegicus (Norway rat)
Lineage: Eukaryota; Metazoa; Chordata; Mammalia; Rodentia; Muridae
Source: RNAcentral